RNAcentral lists this small nucleolar RNA (138 nucleotides) under Ornithorhynchus anatinus (platypus). Lineage: Eukaryota; Metazoa; Chordata; Mammalia; Monotremata; Ornithorhynchidae. The record is from RNAcentral.
CCCCUCUCAGGAUCACACCUGGAGAGUUUCAAGUACUCUAACAGUCUUGGUUAUGGGAGGGAGAAUCAAGUAGAGGCAUACCCAUUCCAUUGCUAGCUUGGGCAGUGACUAGAGAGUGGAAGGCAAUCUGCUACAAAU